CGACGAAGUAACCUUACGUCGGUUUGACAUGGUCGUAGUAGUGAACCGAAAGGGAACGAGCCUUCGGGCAGCGAUCACAGGUGCUGCAUGGCUGUCGUCAGCUCGUGUCGUGAGAUGUUGGGUUAAGUCCCGCAACGAGCGCAACCCUCGUUGCCAGUUACACGUAUCUGGCGAGACUGCCGGUAUCAAGCCGGAGGAAGGUGGGGAUGACGUCAAGUCAGCAUGGCCUUUAUAUCCAGGGCUACACACACGCUACAAUGGUCGGUACAAAGAGUUGCCAAGCCGUGAGGCGGAGCUAAUCUCACCAAAACCGGCCUCAGUUCGGAUUGGAGGCUGCAACCCGCCUCCAUGAAGUCGGAGUUGCUAGUAAACGCCGGUCAGCCAUACGGCGUUGAAUACGUUCCCGGGCCUU
RNAcentral lists this ribosomal RNA (412 nucleotides) under uncultured Caldilineaceae bacterium. Its description in RNAcentral is "bacterial SSU rRNA". It matches the Rfam family "Bacterial small subunit ribosomal RNA", at positions 957 to 1382 of the family's 1533-position model. Lineage: Bacteria; Bacillati; Chloroflexota; Caldilineae; Caldilineales; Caldilineaceae. The record is from RNAcentral.